UACGUAUGGGGCAAGCGUUAUCCGGAUUUACUGGGUGUAAAGGGAGCGUAGGCGGUACGGCAAGUCAGAAGUGAAAGCCUGGGGCUCAACCCCGGAAUUGCUUUUGAAACUGUCGAACUAGAGUGUCGGAGGGGUAAGCGGAAUUCCUAGUGUAGCGGUGAAAUGCGUAGAUAUUAGGAGGAACACCGGUGGCGAAGGCGGCUUACUGGACGACCACUGACGCUGAGCUCGAAAGCGUGGGGAGCAAACAGG
Molecule: ribosomal RNA, 252 nt
Filed under: uncultured bacterium
Lineage: Bacteria
Description: partial 16S ribosomal RNA
Rfam family: Bacterial small subunit ribosomal RNA
Source: RNAcentral